Molecule: long non-coding RNA, 595 nt
Organism: Fukomys damarensis (Damara mole-rat)
Lineage: Eukaryota; Metazoa; Chordata; Mammalia; Rodentia; Bathyergidae
Exons: 3
Source: RefSeq, a predicted model, not a curated record
GGGAGACUGGUUAGGUGCCCGCUGUCCAGAAAGACUCCAUUCAGAUCUCAUUGUGCCUGGGCACCAGAAUCCCAGGAGCCUUCCGAUGGGGUGAGAAGUGAGAAGCUACCCGCCCAGGCAGCUAGGAACAAGCUCCUAGGCAAUUUGUAUUCACCAGGUCAUCCCUCUGGACAUUGGGCAUCCGUGAGCAGGGGUGAGCCGAAGCUGAGCCAUAGUAGCACCUGUGAGCCCCUAUCUUUCCUCUAAGAGGACCCUGUAUGCCAGGACCACUCCAGUGGAAUCUGCGUGACAAUGCCGACCACCUGGCAGAAACCGGAUCUGAGGUAUCGUCCCCUCGGGGUCAAGCCUCCUGGAGGUCCUUGGCAUGCACCGCAUUAAAAGUCAGCCAAAGAAGGAAUCGUUGGUUUCUUCGCCUGCAGCUUGGGGACAAUGGGUUCUGUUACAAUUUUGAUUUAUUUUCUAUUGAUCUCUGUGUGUUUGUUUUUUGAAAAUGCCUAGUGGUUUUCAAGAAGGAGAAGGAUUAGAUGUACCCAAAGAUAUGGAGGAUAAGAAUGUCACUGUUUGGACACAGCCUUCUCAGUCAAAUAAUAACUGA